AGAGUUUGAUCAUGGCUCAGGAUGAACGCUAGCUACAGGCUUAACACAUGCAAGUCGAGGGGAAACGACAUCGAAAGCUUGCUUCCGAUAGGCGUCGACCGGCGUACGGGUGAGUAACGCGUAUCCAACCUGCCCACCACUUGGGGAUAACCUUGCGAAAGUAAGACUAAUACCCAAUGACGUCUCUAGAAGACAUCUGAAAGAGAUUAAAGAUUUAUCGGUGAUGGAUGGGGAUGCGUCUGAUUAGCUUGUUGGCGGGGUAACGGCCCACCAAGGCAACGAUCAGUAGGGGUUCUGAGAGGAAGGUCCCCCACAUUGGAACUGAGACACGGUCCAAACUCCUACGGGAGGCAGCA
This 356-nucleotide ribosomal RNA is filed under the name uncultured bacterium. RNAcentral's name for it is "bacterial SSU rRNA". It matches the Rfam family "Bacterial small subunit ribosomal RNA", at positions 8 to 353 of the family's 1533-position model. The record is from RNAcentral.